RNAcentral lists this transfer RNA (77 nucleotides) under Actinomadura gamaensis. RNAcentral's name for it is "tRNA-Arg". It matches the Rfam family "tRNA". Rfam says of the family: Transfer RNA (tRNA) molecules are approximately 80 nucleotides in length. Their secondary structure includes four short double-helical elements and three loops (D, anti-codon, and T loops). Further hydrogen bonds mediate the characteristic L-shaped molecular structure. tRNAs have two regions of fundamental functional importance: the anti-codon, which is responsible for specific mRNA codon recognition, and the 3' end, to which the tRNAs corresponding amino acid is attached (by aminoacyl-tRNA synthetases). tRNAs cope with the degeneracy of the genetic code in two manners: having more than one tRNA (with a specific anti-codon) for a particular amino acid; and 'wobble' base-pairing, i.e. permitting non-standard base-pairing at the 3rd anti-codon position. Lineage: Bacteria; Bacillati; Actinomycetota; Actinomycetes; Streptosporangiales; Thermomonosporaceae. RNAcentral also lists the same sequence under 4 other names. The record is from RNAcentral.
GCGCCCAUAGCUCAGCCGGAUAGAGCAGCAGACUUCUAAUCUGCCGGUCGGGGGUUCGAAUCCCUCUGGGCGCGCCA